RNAcentral lists this ribosomal RNA (431 nucleotides) under uncultured bacterium. Its description in RNAcentral is "bacterial SSU rRNA". It matches the Rfam family "Bacterial small subunit ribosomal RNA", at positions 28 to 505 of the family's 1533-position model. The record is from RNAcentral.
GAUGAAUGCUGGCUGUGUAAAUAAGGCAUGCAAGUCGAACGCAUUUAGUUGCGUGGCGAACGAGGUAGUAACAGGUAGGUACCUGCCCCCCAGUCAAGGAUAACCUGGAGAAAUCCAGAAUAAUACUUGAUGGUCUAGCAAUAGUAAAGAUUUAUCGCUGGGGGAUGGGCCUGCUGAGUAUCAGCUUGUUGGUAGUGUAAUGGACUACCAAGGCUACGACGCUUAGAGGACCUGAGAGGGUGUUCCUCACCGAUGGCACUGAGACACGGGCCAUACUCCUACGGGAGGCAGCAGUCGAGAAUCUUCCGCAAUGGACGAAAGUCUGACGGAGUGACACAGCGUGGUCGAUGAAGUCCUUCGGGAUGUAAAGACCUUUUAUACAUGAAGAAGUAUAUUGACAUUAGUGUAUGAAUAAGGGGCUGCUAAUCACG